This 1580-nucleotide unclassified non-coding RNA is filed under the name Stegodyphus dumicola. Its description in RNAcentral is "cCR4-NOT transcription complex subunit 7-like, transcript variant X4". The record is from RNAcentral. Lineage: Eukaryota; Metazoa; Arthropoda; Arachnida; Araneae; Eresidae.
CAAUCAACACAUGUAAACAAACAUUUCUUUACGAGUAAUCGAAAGGCGCCGAAGCAAAGAAGAUUCUUUGGCCGAAGUGUCUCUGGGCGUUUAGUAUUUCUCGGGGCAUUUAGUCUCUGGGCAUUUAGUAUGAGAGCAUUUCACGGCUAGACAACACAUCGAAGAAAGGAAGGAAUGUCUGGCUGUACUUAUCUGUGCAAUUCGGGUUUCUAUUUCAGAGGAAGGUCUGUAUGCCGAGCAUAGCUGUGUUAGCAUCUCUUUAUUAUGAUGAAUACAUAAAUGUACUUUAAGUUUUGUGUUGAUGUAAUGUUUUUUGAAACAUAAUCUGGAUCUACCAAAAACAUGGACUGGAAAUGAUCAGAAAUUAUGUCAAAGAUUUCACAGCCAGAUUCUGUAAAUGGUCUUAAUAUAGUAAACAAUUAUGUAAGCAAUGAUCUGUAUGGAAUACAGGAUGUUUGGGCCAAUAAUAUGGAACAAGAAUUCAUGAAAAUCAGGCAGAUAAUUCAAAACUAUACUUAUGUAGCUAUGGAUACAGAAUUUCCAGGUGUUGUUGCAAGGCCAAUUGGAGAAUUCAGAAGUACAGGAGAAUAUCAGUAUCAGUUACUGCGAUGUAAUGUUGAUUUAUUAAAAAUCAUUCAGUUGGGUUUAACAUUCCUGGAUGCGAAUGGCAAUGCUCCUCCAGAGUUUUCAACAUGGCAGUUCAAUUUCAAAUUUAGUUUAGUGGAGGACAUGUUUGCUCAAGAUUCUAUUGAUCUUUUAACAAAUUCUGGUAUUCAGUUCAAAAAACAUGAAGAAGAAGGUAUAGAACCUAAUGAAUUUGCACAGCUUUUGAUGACUUCGGGUGUUGUGCUUUCAGAUAAUGUAAAAUGGCUGUCUUUCCACAGUAGUUAUGACUUUGGAUACCUCCUAAAGCUUCUUACUGACCAGAAUUUGCCUUCAGAUGAAGCUGAAUUUUUUGAUUUAUUGAGAUGGUAUUUCCCAACUAUUUAUGAUGUUAAGUACUUAAUGAAGAGUUGUAAAAAUCUCAAAGGUGGUCUUCAGGAAGUAGCAGAUCAGCUGGAACUAGAACGUAUUGGGCCUCAGCACCAAGCUGGCAGUGAUAGUUUAUUGACUGGAAUAGCAUUUUUUAAAAUGAGAGAGGAAGCAAACAGCAUAGCAAAGUUUUAAUGGCAAGAGAAGUAGAAGCAAAGUGCCUGUAGUUAUCCAAUAUGACAGCUUAUUAAAAGAAAGGUUCUGUUUCAAGUUCCGAAUUAGAUGUUCUUUGAAGACAACAUUGAUGAUGAUAAAUAUUGUGGCCAUCUUUAUGGUCUAGGUAAUUGUUUCAUUCAAGGCAACUUGCAAGAUGAUGCUUUACCAGUCUCCUCUCCUUAACUAGUCAAAAGAUCUUCUGUAAUCCCUUGUAAUGAUGAUUACAUAUUAGUAGAUAAUUGUUGUCAAAGCUAGUCAUAUUUUGAAGAGAAAAUAUUUAAACUUAUUUGUCUUAAAUAGAAGUUUUUCAUUAUACUGUUGAUUUAAUUUUUGUUUGUUAGAAUAUAACAUUCCAAAUAAAAAUAUAGGUAGUUAAUGUUUCAACAGUUGAA